CCAACAUUCCAGUCUCGCCCUCUCUGAGGUGGGAAAGACCAGGGUUUGAGACUCUGAAUGAGGUCCAAAUGAACCAUUAACAUAACAUCUGCCCAAAGAAAGUUCCAUUCAAAGGAUAAGGAAGACCAGGCGCAUUAGUCUUCUACCCAGAAUCAAGGGAUGAGAGAAGGAGGACCAGUCCCUCAACCCGCUCUAGUGUCAGCAAGCUGCUGUUGCUCUUGAGAAGUCCUUUGUUACAAAAUCCCGUGGCACGGCUUUCUACAGAGAAUUGCCCCCUUUGAAGAUUUGCCCCAGUGGUCGUCGUGUUAGCUGCUUCGGUGAAGAAAUAAAAAGGCAUGCCUUAGAUCAACUAUUACUUAUGAAAGGACACCUAGACAUGAAUUCGAAAGGUUUACAUUGUCAAACCAGGGAAGGAGGCAGAGAAGGAAGAUUGUAUCCCUACCUCGGAACGCAGGGGCUAAGGAGCAAGCCAGAAACGUAAAGCCCGUGGCAUUUCCUAUGAGAGUCUUCUCUGGAAGCCAAAGCAAUCACAGAAUGACAGGCCAAAGCUGGUGCUGCACACCUCAAGCUCAACGUACAUGGAAACCAAAGAGUGGCUCUUUUCAAUUAGAAACAUAAAAUGACUGAUGUUAACCGACAAAAUUUGGUAAGAGAACCUAACUGAAUGUUGCUCACCUUAUCUGUAGUCAAGGUAUUCAUAACAGACAGGAAACAAAGUUCCUAACACCCAGGAUCACUUAUACACACUUAAGAAACAUGUUUUCCCCUCCGGCAGGAGAGCACUUCUGGUAUUAAACAGCUGUUUUCACCUCCCCCUUAAAAAUGGCUGUGAUUCACCCGAGUUCAAGUUAUCUUCUCAAAACCUGUCAGGAGUUGCUUGAGGCUGAAAAGCAUGCAUGUUGCUUUUUAUGUAAAUAGGAAAGUAGCAGUGUAGCGGAAUGGGUGCCGCAGGUAAGGCUGUCACACGAAAAUGACUUUAAACGGAUGCCGGACACAACUUCUCCUGGUCUUCUGAGACUCUUUUUCUGUUUAACCACCUUGUUCCCCCCUCAGGUGUCCUUGGUGCAACUCUGAACACCCUGAGAAUGCUUUUCAAACCAAAUAUGUUUCCACAAGUGUGGAAUGGAUGCUCUGUGACAUAAAGAGAUGAGCUUGAAAGAAAAGAUGAAAUUUGCACAUGUUCCUUUGCAACCAGGACUUUCUAGUGAAUUGCUUGAUUCAGAAGAUAAUUCUCCCUGUUUGUCAGUGUUUGAAGCAAUGUACUCAAGCAGCGAAUGGGUCUGCUUCUGGCCAUGAUGCCGUCUUUGGGAUGCAACCCUUGUCGAGUGGGGGUCAGAUUGAACUUUGCUUCUCAACUGCCCUUGAUCUUGCUUCAUACUGGUUUGUUCUUCCAGAAAGAGAAGAGGCAUAAGGCUUAGGCAGCCCAGCACAAAUCAAAGGGAAAGAGAAAUAGAUUUUUAUUUUUCUUCAGGUAACUGACUAACUGAAGUGUCUCCAAGGCUUUAGAAUCAUUUAUUCACAUAUUACAUAUUCAUACACACAAGUGUGCACAAUCACAUAUCACCUUGAGACUUCCUAGGCAUAGGAGAUAAAAGAGUAAGCAAGACAAAGCCUCUGCCCUUGGGAAACUUACACAAUAAAGAAACCAAAAAAUCCUGCAUACGUGCAACGCAAUGUUGUGUAGUAAUAAGUACAGUGAGUUAAAAUAAACCUGGAUAAUGGCACUGAGGUGAAGAGGGAGUGUGUACCCACAGGAAACUCAUCUGAGAAGGCAAUAUCAGAACGAAGACUUGUAUAACCUGGGGGAGGCGGUCCUUACAGAUAUCUAGGGGCAGAGCUUUCCAAGAAGAAGGAAUAAUUUGUUAAAAGGCCCUGAGGUGGGCAGCAAGCUCAGUAUUUUUGAUGACCAUGAAGAGCCAGUGUGAUAUUACUGAGAGUGGCGGGAGAUGAGACUGUGUGUACAUGAGAGGGCGGAUCAAACGGAACCUUGAAGACCAUAGUAAGGAGCUGGGUCUUUAUUCUGAUUGAAUAAAUCCACUGGAGGAUUCUGAGCAGAAAAGGGACUUACGUGACCUGACUUACAUUUUAAUCAGAUAAGUCUGGAGCUCUUGACUUGGGAGUGGGCAAGAUUAGAAGCAGAGAAACCAGUUAGGAGUCUAAAUGGGGCUCUUGAACUAGGAAAACAGUGGUGAACAUGGUGAAAGUGAUUAAAUGCUAGACAUAUUUUGAGGUUGGAGAUGACGAUUUUCUGAUAUAUUAAAUGUGAGGUUUGUGGGCUAGAGAGGCAUCAAGGAUA
This is a long non-coding RNA of Equus caballus (horse), 2296 nucleotides long. The record is from Ensembl. Lineage: Eukaryota; Metazoa; Chordata; Mammalia; Perissodactyla; Equidae.